Molecule: ribosomal RNA, 253 nt
Filed under: uncultured bacterium
Lineage: Bacteria
Description: partial 16S ribosomal RNA
Rfam family: Bacterial small subunit ribosomal RNA
Source: RNAcentral
UACGAAGGGGGCUAGCGUUGCUCGGAAUCACUGGGCGUAAAGGGUGCGUAGGCGGGUCUUUAAGUCAGGGGUGAAAUCCUGGAGCUCAACUCCAGAACUGCCUUUGAUACUGAGGAUCUUGAGUACGGGAGAGGUGUGUGGAACUCCGAGUGUAGAGGUGAAAUUCGUAGAUAUUCGGAAGAACACCAGUGGCGAAGGCGACACACUGGCCCGUUACUGACGCUGAGGCGCGAAAGCGUGGGGAGCAAACAGG